GGGCCGGUGGUCUAGCUUGGUUAAGAUACCGCCUUGACAUGGCGGGGUUCGAGGGUUCAAAUCCCUUCCGGCCCACCA
This 78-nucleotide transfer RNA is filed under the name Nitrosopumilales archaeon. Its description in RNAcentral is "tRNA-Val". It matches the Rfam family "tRNA". From Rfam's summary of the family: Transfer RNA (tRNA) molecules are approximately 80 nucleotides in length. Their secondary structure includes four short double-helical elements and three loops (D, anti-codon, and T loops). Lineage: Archaea; Thermoproteati; Nitrososphaerota; Nitrososphaeria; Nitrosopumilales. The record is from RNAcentral. RNAcentral also lists the same sequence under 5 other names.